RNAcentral lists this ribosomal RNA (2865 nucleotides) under human metagenome. RNAcentral describes it as "bacterial LSU rRNA". It matches the Rfam family "Bacterial large subunit ribosomal RNA". The record is from RNAcentral.
GGAAGCUUAUAAGGCGCGCGGCGGAUGCCUUGGAGCCGGAUGGCGAUGAAGGACGCGACAACCUGCGAUAAGCCCGGGGGAGCUGGACGUAAGCCUAGAUCCCGGGAUUUCCGAAUGGGGAAACCCAGCCAGCUACAAGCUGGCUACCCAUGGCCCAACACAUAAGCCAUGGGAGGCAACCCAGGGAACCGAAACAUCGAAGUACCUGGAGGAAAAGAAAGAGAGAUCGAUUCCGUUAGUAGUGGCGAGCGAAAGCGGAGGAGCCCAAGUCUGCAACAUGUAAGGAGCGCCUAGGGGAAUCCACUGGAAUGUGGAGCCAUAGGGGGUGAAAGCCCCGUACCCGAAGGGCAAACCAAACUAGCAGGAAAGAGUAAGUCGGGACACGUGAAAUCCUGACCGAAGAUGCGGGGACCGCCCCGUAAGGCUAAAUACGGUCCGGCUACCGAUAGCGAACAAGUACCGUGAGGGAAAGGUGAAAAGCACCCCGGGAGGGGAGUGAAAGAGAUCCUGAAACCGCGCGCUGACGAGAUGGCGGAGGGCGUUAAAGCCUGACGCCGUGCCUAUUGAAGAAUGAGCCUGCGAGUCAGUGCACACGCGCGAGGAUAAGGGGAAGACCCGGAUCCGCAGCGAAAGCGAGCCCGAAUAGGGCGCACAGUGCGUGUGUCUGCACCCGAAACCCGGCGAUCUAGCCAUGUCCAGGAUGAAGCAGGGGUGAAACCCUGUGGAGGUCCGCACCGACGUUCGUUGAAACGCCCGCGGAUGAGAUGUGGCUCGUGGUGAAAUUCCAAUCGAGCCGGGUAAUAGCUGGUUCUCCCCGAAACAUCUUUAGGGAUGGCCUCAUGUGUUUGGCCCCGGAGGUAGAGCGACUGGAUGGGAAGGGCCCGAGCGAUCGGGUUCCGGCCCGACCAAACUCCGAAUGCCGGGAGCCCUAAGCAUGGGAGCCAGACGGUGGGAGACAAGUUCCAUCGUCAAGAGGGCAACAGCCCAGACCGCCGGAUAAGGCCCCUAAAUCCACGCUAAGUGUGUAAGGAUGUGGAAACGCUAAGACAGCCAGGAUGUUGGCUCAGAGGCAGCCAUCAUUCAAAGAAUGCGUAACAGCUCACUGGUCAAGCGUUUCUGCGCCGAAAAUUUACCGGGGCUAAGCGUGGUGCCGAAUCCGCGGAUUCGACCAUCAGGUCGAGUGGUAGGGGAGCGUCGUCGCUGGGGCGAAGGAUGACCGUGAGGACAUCUGGACCGUCGACGAGUGAGAAUGCAGGCGUAAGUAGCGAUGAGGGGUGAGAAUCCCCUCCGCCGAAUGACUAAGGUCUCCCGGGCAAGGUUCGUCCACCCGGGGUCAGCCGGGGGCUAAGGUGAGGCCGAAAGGCGUAGCCGAUGCACAAUGGGUUAAGACUCCCAUGCCCCGACGUGAAUUGGCUGAGCAGUGACGGAUCCGGAAGGUCGUACCAGCUGUCGGAAUAGCUGGGCUGCCUUGGAGAUUGGGGCGGGUAAUUCCCGCUUGUAAUGUCUCCAAGGUGGGUAGGAAACCAGGGAUGGGAGUACGAAAUCGGCCGGAAGGGUCCCGGGAAAAGCUGCCCAGUGCCGCACGUCGGGCCCGUACCGAGAACGAACACACGUGGUCAGGUCGAGUAGACCGAGGCGAGCGAGAUAACUGUUGUUAAGGAACUCUGCAAAAUUGCUCCGCAAGUUAGCGAGAAGGAGCGCUCUCCUCCGGGAGAGCCGCAGUGAAGAGGCCCAGGUAACUGUUUACCAAAAACACAGCUCUAUGCGAAGGCGCAAGCCGAUGUAUAUGGGGUGAAGCCUGCCCGGUGCCGGAAGAUUAAGGGGAGGGGUUAGGAGCAAUCCGAAGCCCUGAGCCGAAGUCCCGGUGAACGGCGGCCGUAACUAUAACGGUCCUAAGGUAGCGAAAUUCCUUGUCAGGCAAGUUCUGACGCGCAUGAAUGGUAUAAUAAUCUGGGCGCUGUCUCGACAGCAGACUCGGCGAAAUCUUAAUCCCUGUGAAGAUGCAGGGUGCCCGCGACUAGACGGAAAGACCCCAUGGAGCUUCACUGUAGCUUGGCAUUGGGCGGCCGCGCGCCGCGCACAGGAUAGGUGGGAGGCUAUGAAGGCGGGACUCUGGUUCCGCUGGAGCCGACGUUUGGAUACCACUCUCGGCGUGCGUCCGUCCUAACCGGAACCCUGGAUGGGUUUCGGGACAGUGCCUGGUGGGCAGUUUGACUGGGGCGGUCGCCUCCCAAAGAGUAACGGAGGCGCUCGAAGGUGCCCUUGGGCCGGUUGGAAACCGGUCUGUACGCGCAAACGCAUAAGGGCGCCCGACUGCGAGAGGUACAUCUCGAGCAGGCGCGAAAGCGGGAGUUAGUGACCCGGCGGCACGUUGCGGAACGGCCGUCGCUUAACGGAUAAAAGCUACCCUGGGGAUAACAGGCUGAUCGGUUCCAAGAGUUCACUUCGACGAGCCGGUUUGGCACCUCGAUGUCGGCUCAUCGCAUCCUGGAGGGGCAGUCCCUUCCAAGGGUUUGGCUGUUCGCCAAUUAAAGCGGUACGCGAGCUGGGUUCAAAACGUCGUGAGACAGUUUGGUCCCUAUCUGUCGUGGGUGCAGGAGGCCUGAGGGAAGUCUCUCCUAGUACGCAAGGACCGGGGAGAACGCGGCUACGGUGGUCCGGUUGUCACGCCAGUGGCAUCGCCGGAAAGCCGCCCGCGGCACGGAUAAACGCUGAGAGCAUCUAAGCGUGAAGCCGCUCCCAAGACUAGGCCUCCCACAGCGCAAGCUGGUAAGGGCACCGGUAAGUCACCGGUUUGAUGGACGUCCGCUGCAGGCAUGGCGACAUGCAGAGGUAGGACGCACCAAUAGCCCGAGGGCUCUAUCC